This 509-nucleotide ribosomal RNA is filed under the name uncultured bacterium. Its description in RNAcentral is "partial 16S ribosomal RNA". The record is from RNAcentral.
GGAGUUAGCCGGUGCUUCUUCUGCGAGUAACGUCACAGAUGUAAGGUAUUAACUUACACCCUUUCCUCCUCGCUGAAAGUGCUUUACAACCCGAAUGCCUUCUUCACACACGCGGCAUGGCUGCAUCAGGGUUUCCCCCAUUGUGCAAUAUUCCCCACUGCUGCCUCCCGUAGGAGUCUGGGCCGUGUCUCAGUCCCAGUGUGGCUGAUCAUCCUCUCAGACCAGCUAGGGAUCGUCGCCUAGGUGAGCCUUUACCUCACCUACUAGCUAAUCCCACCUGGGCUUAUCCAUCAGCGCAAGGCCCGAAGGUCCCCUGCUUUCCCCCGUAGGGCGUAUGCGGUAUUAGCAGUCGUUUCCAACUGUUAUCCCCACAAAUGGGCAAAUUCCCAGGCAUUACUCACCCGUCCGCCGCUCGUCAUCUUCAAAGCAAGCUUUUGAAAUGUUACCGCUCGACUUGCAUGUGUUAGGCCUGCCGCCAGCGUUCAAUCUGAGCCAGAAUCAAACUCUGA